This 447-nucleotide ribosomal RNA is filed under the name uncultured bacterium. RNAcentral describes it as "partial 16S ribosomal RNA". It matches the Rfam family "Bacterial small subunit ribosomal RNA", at positions 29 to 523 of the family's 1533-position model. The record is from RNAcentral.
AACGAACGCUGGCGGCAGGCUUAACACAUGCAAGUCGAGCGCCCCGCAAGGGGAGCGGCAGACGGGUGAGUAACGCGUGGGAAUCUACCCUUUUCUACGGAAUAACGCAGGGAAACUUGUGCUAAUACCGUAUACGCCCUUCGGGGGAAAGAUUUAUCGGGAAAGGAUGAGCCCGCGUUGGAUUAGCGAGUUGGUGGGGUAAAGGCCUACCAAGGCGACGAUCCAUAGCUGGUCUGAGAGGAUGAUCAGCCACGUUGGGACUGAGACACGGCCCAAACUACUACGGGGGGCAGCAAUGGGGAAUAUUGUACAAUGGGCGCAAGCCUGAUCCAGCCAUGCCGCGUGAGUGAUGAAGGCCCUAGGGUUGUAAAGCUCUUUCACCGGUGAAGAUAAUGACGGUAACCGGAGAAGAAGCCCCGGCUAACUUCGUGCCAGCCGCCGCGGUAA